RNAcentral lists this ribosomal RNA (254 nucleotides) under uncultured bacterium. Its description in RNAcentral is "partial 16S ribosomal RNA". It matches the Rfam family "Bacterial small subunit ribosomal RNA", at positions 524 to 776 of the family's 1533-position model. The record is from RNAcentral.
CACGUAGGGUGCGAGCGUUGUCCGGAAUUAUUGGGCGUAAAGAGCUCGUAGGCGGUGUGUCGCGUCGGCCGUGAAAACCUGCAGCUUAACCGUGGGCUUGCGGUCGAUACGGGCAUCACUGGAGUUCGGCAGGGGAGACUGGAAUUCCUGGUGUAGCGGUGAAAUGCGCAGAUAUCAGGAGGAACACCGGUGGCGAAGGCGGGUCUCUGGGCCGAUACUGACGCUGAGGAGCGAAAGCGUGGGGAGCGAACAGG